This is a long non-coding RNA of Notothenia coriiceps (black rockcod), 164 nucleotides long. RefSeq lists it as uncharacterized. The record is from RefSeq and is a predicted model, not a curated record. The transcript has 3 exons. NCBI's taxonomy places the organism in Eukaryota, Metazoa, Chordata, Actinopteri, Perciformes, Nototheniidae.
UUGUUUUAACUCAAUGGAAAAUCAUAUCCCUGUCUUCGGCCGUGGUGCAGCUGUACACCGCAGACAGGAACUCCAUCUGGAACAAGAGAGGCUGCGGGGUGGCCUGUCUGGUCAAAGACAACCCGCUGCGGUCCUACUUCAUCCGGGUGUGGGACAUCAAGGUG